CGAGUGAAGCGGUAACAGCUCAAAUUUGAAAUCUGGCUCCUGCGGAGUCCGAGUUGUAAUUUGUAGAAGAUGCUUUGGGAGGGAGGCUCGGCCUAAGUUCCUUGGAACAGGACAUCAGAGAGGGUGAGAAUCCCGUAUGUGGCCGUGGCCUCCGCCCGUGUAAAGCUCUUUCGACGAGUCGAGUUGUUUGGGAAUGCAGCUCAAAAUGGGUGGUAAAUUUCAUCUAAAGCUAAAUAUUGGCCAGAGACCGAUAGCGCACAAGUAGAGUGAUCGAAAGAUGAAAAGCACUUUGGAAAGAGAGUUAAACAGUACGUGAAAUUGUUGAAAGGGAAGCGCUUGCACCCAGACUUGGGCGUCGUCGAUCAUCCGAGGUUCUCCUCGGUGCACUCGGCGAGGCACAGGCCAGCAUCGGUUUGGAUGGUUGGAGAAAGGCUCUAGGAACGUAGCUCUCUUCGGGGAGUGUUAUAGCCUAGGGCGUAAUGCAGCCCAUCGGGACCGAGGACCGCGCCUUCGGGCUAGGAUGCUGGCGUAAUGGUU
RNAcentral lists this ribosomal RNA (537 nucleotides) under Golovinomyces bolayi. Its description in RNAcentral is "partial large subunit ribosomal RNA". It matches the Rfam family "Eukaryotic large subunit ribosomal RNA", at positions 90 to 639 of the family's 3401-position model. The record is from RNAcentral. Lineage: Eukaryota; Fungi; Ascomycota; Leotiomycetes; Helotiales; Erysiphaceae.